This 1586-nucleotide long non-coding RNA is filed under the name Homo sapiens (human). RNAcentral describes it as "HSALNT0192917". The record is from RNAcentral. Lineage: Eukaryota; Metazoa; Chordata; Mammalia; Primates; Hominidae.
AUACUAAUUUACAUAGUAAUUUUAUUCUAGUUUCUACUUUGCUUAAUUUGACAAGAAAAUUCUAGUUGUAGUAAAAUUUACAUUAGAACUCAUCUAGGAACACAGCUCAUCAUGUUGAUAGCCCCAGGCAUCAGCUGAUAUAUUAAAGAAUAGCUUUACACAAAUAUUAAAUAUAGAAACCUAGGAUACAGAUCAUACUGAAAGAUGGUAAGAGGCUUUGUUCAUUUAUUGAUAGGAAAAAUCAGUUGUGUUAAUGAAACUAAAUAUUAGGAAGGAAAACAAAAGUGUUACUGAAAUGGGAGAGUUCCCUGAUCCCCCUUACAGGAUGUGUAACAGAGGUGUGGCUUGCCUGUUGGUCGCUGCUGCUACUCAAACCCCUGAUGGGAGGCAGACCACGCAGAUGGUCAGGUGCAAGAGGUGGGGCGAGUGCUUUGGGCUCCAGCCCCGUGGCAGUAUCUAGGGGUGGGUGCCUGCAGCCCCAGUGUUACAAUGCUCUUUUAGCUCUUUUAACCUUGCUGUCCACAGACAGCUUAAGUGUUAACCAACUCAACAGACCCUCUUUUUGCAAGGGCAGAGGGCUAGUGUGACAACUUUGCAAGGGCAGCGGGCCAGUGUGACAACUUUCUGUAUCCUGAACUCUUGCCCAGAGUCCUGGAAGAAUUGGGUCACACAUGGGCUUGAAGGAUGAAAUUGGGGUUUUAUUGAGUGGUGGAGGUGGCUUUCAGCUAGAUGUAUGAGGAGCUGGAAAGGGGAUAGAGUGGGAAGAUGAUCUUCCCCUGGAGUUUGGCCAUCCAGUGGACUAAAUCCUCUCUGAAUGCCCUCAGCCAAACUCUUCUUGGUGUUCAGAUGUUACUUCUCUUCUUUCUCUUUCUCGGCUGUGCCAUUCUGCCAUUCACCGGCUUGUCUCCUCAUCUCUUUGUCUGCUUCUGGAGCUUGUUUUUCUGUGGAACUCUCAAAGAGUAAAUGGAAAAUUAGCUUUGUGUUUUUGUUUGAAGAAGACUAUGUAGAGGAGAGUUAUUUGAGCUCUUAGCAAAGGAAGCUCCAUUUGCCUCUUUUCUUUUCCUCUGUCUAGUUUUUCCAUGAGAUGAGGAUAAUUGUAGGAACCUUGUUUAUUUAUAAAGCAGAUCCCAGACAGUCAUAGUGAGAGGUGACAGCAUGCUGGCAGUCGUCGCAGCCCUCGCUCGCUCUUGGCGCCUCCUCGGCCUGGGCGCCCACUCUGGCCGCGCCUGAGGAGCCCUUCAGCCCGUCGCUGCACUGUGGGAGCCUCUUCCUGGGAUGGCCGAGGCAGGAGCCAGCUCCCUCAGCCUGAGGGGAAGUGCGGAGGGAGAGGCACGGGCAGGAACCGGGGCUGCGCGUAGCCCUUGCGGGCCAGCUAGAGUUCCGGGUUGGCGUGGGUUUGGCGGGCCCCGCCUCCCUGGGCAAUGAGGAGCUUAGCACCCGGACCAGCAGGGUUUAGCAACCGGGCCAGCAGCUGAGGAGGGUGCGCUGGGUCCCCCAGCAGUGCCAGCCUACCGGCGCUGCGCUCGAUUUCUCGCGGGGCCUUAGGUGCCUCCCCGCGGGGCAGGGCUCCGGACCUGCAGCCCGCC